This 29-nucleotide non-coding RNA is filed under the name Mus musculus (house mouse). The record is from RNAcentral. Lineage: Eukaryota; Metazoa; Chordata; Mammalia; Rodentia; Muridae.
UAUCAUUUCUUUCAAGUUGCCACAGUGUC